AGCGCAGGCGGGAAGACAAGUUGGAAGUGAAAUCUAUGGGCUCAACCCAUAAACUGCUUUCAAAACUGUUUUUCUUGAGUAGUGCAGAGGUAGGCGGAAUUCCCGGUGUAGCAGUGGAAUGCGUAGAUAUCGGGAGGAACACCAGUGGCGAAGGCGGCCUACUGGGCACCAACUGACGCUGAGGCUCGAAAGUGUGGGUAGCAAACA
Molecule: ribosomal RNA, 207 nt
Filed under: uncultured bacterium
Lineage: Bacteria
Description: partial 16S ribosomal RNA
Rfam family: Bacterial small subunit ribosomal RNA
Source: RNAcentral